AGAGUUUGAUCCUGGCUCAGGAUGAACGCUAGCGGCAGGCCUAAUACAUGCAAGCCGAACGGCAAGUCUGAUAGCAAUAUUAGACCUAGAGUGGCGUAAGGGUGCGUAACACGUAUGCAAUCUGCCCACAACAGGAGGAUAGCUCCCCGAAAGGGGAAUUAACCCUCCAUAGGAUCACACGAGGGCAUCUGAGAGUGAUUAAACCAAAAGGGGUUGUGGAUGAGCAUGCGGUUGAUUAGCUAGUUGGCGGGGUAACGGCCCACCAAGGCGAUGAUCAAUAGGGGAACUGAGAGGUUUAUCCCCCACACUGGCACUGAGAUACGGGCCAGACUCCUACGGGAGGCAGCAGUAGGGAAUAUUGGACAAUGGGCGAGAGCCUGAUCCAGCCAUGCCGCGUGCAGGAAGAAGGCCUUCUGGGUUGUAAACUGCUUUUGCCAGGGGAUAAAAAGUCCCUGCGGGGAAAAUUGAAGGUACCUGGUGAAUAAGCCACGGCUAACUACGUGCCAGCAGCCGCGGUAAUACGUAGGUGGCAAGCGUUGUCCGGAUUUAUUGGGUUUAAAGGGUGCGUAGGCGGUUCUAUAAGUCAGUGGCGAAAUACGGCAGCUCAACUGUCGAGGUGCCAUUGAUACUGCAGAACUUGAGUACAGACGAGGUAGGCGGAAUUGGCGGUGUAGCGGUGAAAUGCUUAGAUAUCGUCAAGAACACCGAUAGCGGAGGCAGCUUACUAGACUGUAACUGACGCUGAGGCACGAAAGUGUGGGGAUCAAACAGGAUUAGAUACCCUAGUAGUCC
Molecule: ribosomal RNA, 792 nt
Filed under: uncultured bacterium
Lineage: Bacteria
Description: bacterial SSU rRNA
Rfam family: Bacterial small subunit ribosomal RNA
Source: RNAcentral